GUUGUGGCUCAGUGGCAGAGUACUCGCUUAGCGUGUGUGAGGCCCUGGGUUCAAUCCUCAGCACCACA
Molecule: transfer RNA, 68 nt
Filed under: Marmota monax (woodchuck)
Lineage: Eukaryota; Metazoa; Chordata; Mammalia; Rodentia; Sciuridae
Description: tRNA.Ala
Rfam family: tRNA (bases 3-63)
About the family: Transfer RNA (tRNA) molecules are approximately 80 nucleotides in length. Their secondary structure includes four short double-helical elements and three loops (D, anti-codon, and T loops).
Source: RNAcentral